RNAcentral lists this RNase P RNA (380 nucleotides) under Sphingobium sp. RNAcentral's name for it is "RNase P RNA component class A". It matches the Rfam family "Bacterial RNase P class A". From Rfam's summary of the family: Ribonuclease P (RNase P) is a ubiquitous endoribonuclease, found in archaea, bacteria and eukarya as well as chloroplasts and mitochondria. Its best characterised activity is the generation of mature 5'-ends of tRNAs by cleaving the 5'-leader elements of precursor-tRNAs. Cellular RNase Ps are ribonucleoproteins. RNAcentral also lists the same sequence under 1 other name. The record is from RNAcentral. Lineage: Bacteria; Pseudomonadati; Pseudomonadota; Alphaproteobacteria; Sphingomonadales; Sphingobiaceae.
CCAGGGGGCCGGGCGACCGCGGCGUAGGAAUACGGCGAGGAAAGUCCGGGCUCCACGAAAAGACGGUGCCAGCUAACGGCUGGCGAGGGUAACCUCAGGGACAGUGCAACAGAGAGCAGGUCGCUAAGACUUCGGUCCAGUGACAGUGAAAGGGUGCGGUAAGAGCGCACCGCGUCCCCGGCAACGGGCGACGGCAUGGUAAACCCCACCGGGAGCAAGACCGAAUAGGGGCGGCGCGGCGAGCAAUCGCCAAGGCAUUUUUCGGCCUGGACCGCCCGGGUUGGUUGCUUGAGGCCAUGAGCGAUCAUGGUCCUAGAGGAAUGGUCGCCCAGUCAUCGCAAGAUGAUGGACAGAACCCGGCUUACAGGCCCCCUGGCACU